AUUCAGCUGACGAGUCCCAAAUAAGACGAAACGCGCAUCAAACUGGAC
Molecule: non-coding RNA, 48 nt
Organism: Schistosoma rodhaini
Lineage: Eukaryota; Metazoa; Platyhelminthes; Trematoda; Strigeidida; Schistosomatidae
Source: Rfam